RNAcentral lists this long non-coding RNA (233 nucleotides) under Musa acuminata (dwarf banana). RNAcentral describes it as "long non-coding RNA (MACU_LNC011699)". The record is from RNAcentral. Lineage: Eukaryota; Viridiplantae; Streptophyta; Magnoliopsida; Zingiberales; Musaceae.
UGCAGGAAAGGACGAUGCGCCGAAGAAUCGGACGAAGCGUCGAGGGACCAAUGACAUGCCGGACAACUUGGUUAAUUGCUUAGGAUUAAUUGUCUCGAUCGAAGUUUUUGUUUUAAGUGUGCAGGAUUAACUACGAUGAAAGUUAGACAAGCAGCAGGAGUUGCGCCGGAGUCAAGUUCAUGAUCACGUUGGGAGUUCGAGAGUUCGACGGAAGUUCGGACGGUCGUCGGAGG